This 253-nucleotide ribosomal RNA is filed under the name uncultured bacterium. RNAcentral describes it as "partial 16S ribosomal RNA". It matches the Rfam family "Bacterial small subunit ribosomal RNA", at positions 524 to 776 of the family's 1533-position model. The record is from RNAcentral.
UACGGAGGGUGCAAGCGUUAUCCGGAUUCACUGGGUUUAAAGGGAGCGUAGGAGGGCAGGUAAGUCAGUGGUGAAAUCUUCGAGCUUAACUCGGAAACUGCCGUUGAUACUAUCUGUCUUGAAUACCGUGGAGAUGAGCGGAAUAUGUCAUGUAGCGGUGAAAUGCUUAGAUAUGACAUAGAACACCAAUUGCGAAGGCAGCUCGUUACACGAAUAUUGACUCUGAGGCUCGACAGCGUGGGGAGCAAACAGG